RNAcentral lists this ribosomal RNA (247 nucleotides) under uncultured Acanthamoeba. Its description in RNAcentral is "partial 18S ribosomal RNA". It matches the Rfam family "Eukaryotic small subunit ribosomal RNA", at positions 97 to 279 of the family's 1831-position model. The record is from RNAcentral. Lineage: Eukaryota; Discosea; Longamoebia; Acanthamoebidae.
CUCAUUAAAUCAGUUAUAGUUUAUUUGAUGGUCUCUUUUGUCUUUUUUUACCUACUUGGAUAACCGUGGUAAUUCUAGAGCUAAUACAUGCGCAAGGUCCCGAGCGCGGGGGGCAGGGCUUCACGGCCCUGUCCUCGCAUGCGCAGAGGGAUGUAUUUAUUAGGUUAAAAACCAGCGGCAGGGUCAGCAAUGGCCCCUGCCAAACACUCCUGGUGAUUCAUAGUAACUCUUUCGGAUCGCAUUCAUG